RNAcentral lists this ribosomal RNA (403 nucleotides) under uncultured bacterium. RNAcentral describes it as "partial 16S ribosomal RNA". It matches the Rfam family "Bacterial small subunit ribosomal RNA", at positions 29 to 526 of the family's 1533-position model. The record is from RNAcentral.
AUUGAACGCUGGCGGCAGGCCUAACACAUGCAAGUCGAGCGAGCGGCGGACGGGUGAGUAAUGUAUGGGGACUGCCCGAUAGAGGGGGGUAACUACUGGAAACGGUAGCUAAUACCGCAUACUAUCGGAUAACCCAUAUGGGAUGAGCUAGUAGGGGGGGUAAUGGCUCACCUAGGCGACGAUCCCUAGCUGGUCUGAGAGGAUGAUCAGCAACCCUGGGACUGAGACAGGGCCAAGACGCCUACGGAGGCGGCGGUGGGAAAUAUUGGACAAUGGCCGCAAGCCUGAGGCAGCCAUGCCGCGGGUAUGAGGAGGGCCCUAGGGUUGUAAAGUACGUUCAGUCGGGAGGCGUUACCGACAGAGGAAGCACCGGCUAACUCCGUGCCAGCAGCCGCGGUAAUUC